GCCCAGACUCCUACGGGAGGCAGCAGUGGGGAAUAUUGCACAAUGGGGGGAACCCUGAUGCAGCGACGCCGCGUGGGUGAAGGAGCACCUCGGUGCGUAAAGCCCUAUCGGCAGGGAAGAAAAGCGAACAGGUUCGCCUGGACGGUACCUGUUUAGAAAGCUCCGGCUAACUACGUGCCAGCAGCCGCGGUAAUACGUAGGGAGCAAGCGUUGUCGGGAAUUACUGGGCGUAAAGGGCGCGUAGGUGGGCGCUUAAGUCAGGUGUGAAAACUCCGGGCUCAACCUGGAGACUGCACUUGAAACUGGGUGUCUUGAGGGCAGGAGGGGAAAGUGGAAUUCCUAGUGUAGCGGUGAAAUGCGUAGAUAUUAGGAGGAACACCAGUGGCGAAGGCGACUUUCUGGACUGUACCUGACGCUGAGGCGCGAAAGCGUGGGUAGCGAACGGGAUUAGAUACCCCUGUA
RNAcentral lists this ribosomal RNA (462 nucleotides) under uncultured bacterium. RNAcentral's name for it is "bacterial SSU rRNA". It matches the Rfam family "Bacterial small subunit ribosomal RNA", at positions 329 to 792 of the family's 1533-position model. The record is from RNAcentral.